UACGAAGGGGGCUAGCGUUGCUCGGAAUGACUGGGCGUAAAGGGCGCGUAGGCGGUUUGGACAGUCGGACGUGAAAUUCCAGGGCUCAACCUUGGGGCUGCGUUCGAGACGUUUGGACUAGAGUGUGGAAGAGGGUCGUGGAAUUCCCAGUGUAGAGGUGAAAUUCGUAGAUAUGCCAUAGAACACCAAUGGCGAAGGCAGCUGGCUGGACCUAUAUUGACGCUGAGGCACGAAAGCGUGGGGAGCGAACAGG
This 253-nucleotide ribosomal RNA is filed under the name uncultured bacterium. RNAcentral describes it as "partial 16S ribosomal RNA". It matches the Rfam family "Bacterial small subunit ribosomal RNA", at positions 524 to 776 of the family's 1533-position model. The record is from RNAcentral.